This is a long non-coding RNA of Pyrus x bretschneideri (Chinese white pear), 1191 nucleotides long. RefSeq lists it as uncharacterized. Lineage: Eukaryota; Viridiplantae; Streptophyta; Magnoliopsida; Rosales; Rosaceae. The record is from RefSeq and is a predicted model, not a curated record. The transcript has 2 exons.
CCCAUGCCGUCAUAUAAGGAAAUCAUUCCUUUCUAUCAUAGUGGUAAAGGGCCACCUGCAACCUAUAAUCAUUAUAUAAAAGGAAAACUAAUGAAAAUAGUUUCAAAAUUUUGAGUUUUAACGAUAAAGACAAAAUAACGGGUAAAAUAAAUAGUACCAGGAUUGACUUUCUAAUGUAAAAAUACAAUUUUUCGUUAAAAUAAACCGUACUGAGAAUUUUUCGUUAAAAUUCUUUUAUAUAAAUGAAAAGAUACUUAAAAUCAAGAUUUUCUAUAUUUGUGAAAUGAUAUAUGCCGAGCGCAUCCGUAUUCCGUGCUCAUUAAAAUAUAUAUCCGAUAAGGUCGUUGAUUUACAAUAUGAAAAGACGUUCUUGAAAUUACGAAAAAGCACCGAAAGCUUCCCGCUACGUCUAGUAUGUUCUAGCUGCUUGCGUGUCGUCGGUUCAUCCUCCUUAAAAUCUCUCACUCACACUCUCCCAAGCACCCAUCAGAAAAAACUCAUAACGAUUCGAUCAACCGAAGGAAAUACCAUAUCAAAUUCUUGAAACGCAGUUGUGGAUUUACCCGCCAUUGUUGCAGAAAAGCUUCAGCUUCCUCCUCAUAAGUGUUUGUUAGGUAUCAUUAAUUGGUGAAGGAAAAUGAACCCUGAUAAGUUCACCCACAAGACCAAUCUUCUAGCACACUGGAUACAUGGACUAGCACUUCAUUUGGGUUUUCAAAGAUGACACCUAAUGAGGGGAUGCAGUUUCUCAAUUAUACUUUCAUGGAUUUCCAGGGCACUAUCUUGUGCAAUAAAGUAUUGAAACAGACAAACUCUACGACACAAGCAACCAUACCGUUCGGAGGAAGUAUCAAAUUUGAUGGAUCGCCCGUUGCCACCUCUACAGUAACUCAGGCAGAAGACAAUCGGCCGGAGAAUGGAGCUUCAGACCAAGAAUUGGGGAACGUUGCCUCCGGUGACAAGUUUUUGAUUGAUGUUGACUGCAUGCCGUUGGACAACAACGAACCUAGUUUCUCGGCGUGAUACAACGAACAGAAUUUUAGGUUGAUUCCAGGAUUUUGUUAGGGUGUAACUAUAUAAGAUAACUGAACAAAUUAUCGAGGGAAAUAUUUGACGGAUACAUUCGGUAAUUAUGUACAAUUUUUUAAUGUGUUAUUAAACUAAAUAUCACUUAUCAAAUUUUAUUUUUCA